RNAcentral lists this long non-coding RNA (3388 nucleotides) under Triticum aestivum (bread wheat). Its description in RNAcentral is "long non-coding RNA (TAES_LNC005560)". Lineage: Eukaryota; Viridiplantae; Streptophyta; Magnoliopsida; Poales; Poaceae. The record is from RNAcentral.
ACAAAUACAAGAAUAAAGCAUUACAUCAUCCAGAUACAAUCAAGGCCCGACUACGGAGCCAAAAUAAAAGAAGACUACCCCAAAUGCUACACAGAUGCCCGAUCGACCCCAACUGGGCUCCACUACUGAUCGACUAGAACGAAACAACAUAAAGGACAAGAUCUUCAUCGAGCUCCUCCUGAGCUUGGUUGCGUCAUCUGCACAGUAUCAUCGGCACCUGCAAACUGGUUUUGGAAGUAUAUGUGAGUCACGGGGACUCAGCAAUCUCACACCCUCGCGAUCAAGACUAUUUAAGCUUAUAGGUAGGGUAAAAGGUACAAGGUGGAGCUGCAGCAAGCGACUAGCAUAUAUGGUGGCUAAACAUAUGCAAAUGAGAGCGAGAAGAGAAGGCAAAGCACGAUCGUGAAACUAUGAUCAAGAAGUGAUCCUAGAACAACCUACGUCAAACAUUACUCCAACACCGUGUUCACUUCCCGGACUCCGCCGGAAAGAGACCAUCACGGUAACACACGCGGUUGAUGUAUUUUAAUUAAGGUCAACUUCAGGUUUUCUACAACCGGACAUUAACAAAUUCCCAUCUGCCCAUAACCGCGGGAACGGCUUUCGAAAGUUCAAAUCCCUGCAGGGGAGUCCCAACUUAGCCCAUGACAAGCUCUCACGGUCAACGAAGGAAUAGACCUCCUCCCGAGACAUUCCGAUUAGACUCGGUAUCCUGGUUCUACAAGACACUUCGACAAGUUAAAACAAAUCCAGCAACACCGCCCGAAUGUGCCGACAAAUCCCGAUAGGAGCUGCACAUAUCUCUUUCUCAGGGCACACUUAGAUGAGACUAGCUACGAGUAAAACCAACCCUCAAGUUUCCCCGAGGUGGCCCCGCAGGUAGCUCAGUUCGGACCAACACUCAGAGGAGCACUGGCCCGGGGGGGGGGGGAUUAGAAUAAAGAUGACCCUUGAGUUUGCAGAACCCAAGGGAAGGUGGUAGGUUGUUAGUGCAAAUGGUAAAACCAAGGUUGGGCAUUGCUGGAGGAGUUUUAUUCAAGGCGAACUGUCAAGGGGUUCCCAUUAUUACCCAACCGCGUAAGGAAUGCAAAAUCUGGGAACAUAACACCGAUAUGACGGAAACUAGGGCGGCAAGAGUGGAACAAAACACCACGCAUAAGGCCGAGCCUUCCACCCUUUACCAAGUAUAUAGAUGCAUUAAUUAAAUAAGAGAUAUUGUGAUAUCCAAACAAGUAAACAUGUUCCAACCAGGAACAACAUCUCCAUGUUCCAACAAGGAACAACCUUCAAUCUUCACCUGCAACUAACAACGCUAUAAGAGGGGCUGAGCAAAGCGGUAACAUAGCCAAACAACGGUUUGCUAGGACAAGGUGGGUUAGAGGCUUGGUUCAACAAUAUAGGAGGCAUGAAAAGCAAGUGGUAGGUAUCGCAGCAUAGGCAUAGCAAAAGAGCGAGCAACUAGCAAGCAAAGAUAGAAGUGAUUUCGAGGGUAUGAUCAUCUUGCCUGAGAUCCCGCAAGGAAGAAGAACGAGUCCAUGAAGAAGACAAACGGACGUAGUCGAACGGGUCCUCACAAACGCGACGUUAUCGGAUUAUCGAGAAGAAAUACACCGGAAAGAAAGCAAACAACAUAGUAAAAAACCACCCCAUAAACAUGGCAUGAUGCACAAUCAAGUAUGAUGCAUGUCCGGUUUAAUGAAGCAUGGCAUGGCAAGAUGCACAAACAAUCCUACAAAUUAACUGGAGCUCAAUAUGCAACGGAGUUGCAUAUUGAAGAAAACACCACAUGACUUAUUUACUUCUCUCUCGUUUAUGUACCCAACAAGGUUAAAUGUUGUUAGCAUGGCAAGAGGUGAAGCAUGAUGAAACUAUCUAAUCUAGGCAAGUUUAAAUGAGGCCGGAACAACAAAACAGCAAGUCCGGAAACUCCACAUAUGCAUAUAUUAGGUUUGGUACUGUUCUGCCCUAAACAUAAUUUUAGAGUUGUUAAACAUGCUAGAUGAGUGCAUCAUGUUAAACUAGGCAUUUUUCUACCCCAUUUACAUAUAAAGUUUGUUAAAUUCCGAGUUACGGUUAUUUAGUUAUGAAAUAAAGCAUUUUAACAUGGCAUAGGAGCAAAUUUAACCAGACAACAUUUUAAACAAGUCAAACAUUCAUGAAAUUUGAAAAUUAUUAAACUAGAUGAAAAUCUAAGCAAGUUUUGUAUACAAAGUUUUUACAUGUGAUGCUUAGUUUGUGAGAUAUUAAAUGCAUGAAGGCUAAGGGGUUUUCUAAAAAACUGCACUCUCUGAAUAAAGACAAAAUCUCUAGAUCUGAAAAAAUCCAUUAUGGGCCGAAACAAGAACUGGCCCAACAUCAGGAAAAAAAGGUGGGCGCUGGGGGUGUGCCUCACCCAUGGGCCGGGCCCAAUUAUGGAGGAAGCAGGGUAGGCCGGAUCUGGCUGCUAGGCGCACAGCUGGGCCUCGGGCGCUGGCAGGCCACUGGGCCUUUCCAAAUCGAGGCUAAGCGCUGGCAGAUCGAGCAGUUGGACGCGGUCAACAAACGCGGCUGGACCGGGCGAGCUCCUCUGCUCGUCUCUGAAGAAAGACGGCAGCGACAGGUUCAGAGCGACAGACUUGGCGGCGAGAACGGCUGGGAGCAGAGCUCCGGCGAGCGGGCGAAGGGGCGGCGAGGUACAGGGCGUUCGGAUCUAGCUGGAAACGGGCCUGGACGCCACCGAGCUUGAGGAGCUCAGCGUCCAUGGCGGCAUCCAUGGCCGGGCGGCGCAGUUCGGAGCUCGGUUACCUGCGAGGACGGCCACGACGGGAAUCAGAGAGAGAAAGGGAGGAGAUGAUGACAGGGAGAAGGAGGAAGGAGAGGGGCGCGAGGGGCUGGCCUGUCCACGGCUCUGCUGCUGCUCCUGUUGGCGAGGCAGCGAGGCCACUCGGAACCAGAGACAGAGGAAGUUGGCGGAGGGGACACUCCAGGCGGCGGCGUCGUACUGCUACUCCAGAGAGAGUAACGUGAGGAGAGAGUCCAUGGCAGGGGAAAACAGAAGGAGGGGAAGGUGAGGAGGAGGAGAGGCACGACCUUGGGGACCGGCGUCAAUGGCGGAGGAGCUUCAGCGGCGACGUUCGUUGUUGUACGGCGAGGCGAGGAGGGGGCCAAGGACGAGGCAUGGCUCGGGUAGGGGAAGGCUCGGGCGCAGUCGAGGUGAACGGCGGCAGGAGGUGGCUCUGCGUGGGGGACUCGGUUGCCGGCGCGGGAAGGCACUGGAUGCAGGGGGUUGAGCGAGGGAGCAGCAGAGGAUGGAGGAGGAGGCGAUGUGGCGCUGGUCGAUUGGAUCGAUCCGAUCUGGGAGGAUCCCGAGGUGGAUGCGGGAGUGUGGAGGCGGCGGGUGAGGGAAAAA